UCGAGGGGCAGCAUGGGAGUAGUAAUACUUCUGAUGGCGACCGGCGCACGGGUGCGUAACGCGUAUGCAACCUACCUGUAACAGGGGGAUAACACUGAGAAAUCGGUACUAAUACCGCAUAACACUAUGAGAGGCAUCUCUUGUGGUUGAAAGUUUCGGCGGUUACAGAUGGGCAUGCGUUGUAUUAGCUGGUUGGUAAGGUAACGGCUCACCAAGGCGACGAUACAUAGGGGGACAGAGAGGUUAACCCCCCACAUUGGUACUGAGACACGGACCAAACUCCUACGGGAGGCAGCAGUGAGGAAUAUUGGUCAAUGGACGGAAGUCUGAACCAGCCAUGCCGCGUGCAGGAAGACGGCUCUAUGAGUUGUAAACUGCUUUUGUACAAGGGUAAACCUGAAUACGUGUAUUCAGCUGAAAGUACUGUACGAAUAAGGAUCGGCUAACUCCGUGCCAGCAGCCGCGGUAAUACGGAGGAUCCAAGCGUUAUCCGGAUUUAUUGGGUUUAAAGGGUGCGUAGGCGGAUUGAUAAGUUAGAGGUGAAAUGUCCGAGCUUAACUCGGGAACUGCCUCUAAUACUGUUGAUCUAGAGAGUAGAUGCGGUAGGCGGAAUGUAUGGUGUAGCGGUGAAAUGCUUAGAGAUCAUACAGAACACCGAUUGCGAAGGCAGCUUACCAAUCUAUAUCUGACGUUGAGGCACGAAAGCGUGGGGAGCAAACAGGAUUAGAUACCCUGGUAGUCCACGCAGUAAACGAUGAUAGCUCGUUGUCGGCGAUACACAGUCGGUGACUAAGAGAAAUCGAUAAGCUAUC
This 812-nucleotide ribosomal RNA is filed under the name uncultured bacterium. Its description in RNAcentral is "bacterial SSU rRNA". It matches the Rfam family "Bacterial small subunit ribosomal RNA", at positions 62 to 869 of the family's 1533-position model. The record is from RNAcentral.